UACGUAGGGUGCGAGCGUUAAUCGGAAUUACUGGGCGUAAAGCGUGCGCAGGCGGUUCGUUAAGUCAGAUGUGAAAGCCCCGGGCUCAACCUGGGAACUGCAUUUGAAACUGGCGGGCUUGAGUAUGGCAGAGGGGGGUGGAAUUCCGCGUGUAGCAGUGAAAUGCGUAGAGAUGCGGAGGAACACCGAUGGCGAAGGCAGCCCCCUGGGCUGAGAUUGACGCUCAGGCACGAAAGCGUGGGGAGCAAACAGG
Molecule: ribosomal RNA, 253 nt
Filed under: uncultured bacterium
Lineage: Bacteria
Description: partial 16S ribosomal RNA
Rfam family: Bacterial small subunit ribosomal RNA
Source: RNAcentral